ACUCAAUAGAUACCCUGGUAGUCCACGCCCUAAACGAUGUCUACUAGUUGUCGGGUCUUAAUUGACUUGGUAAACGCAGCUAAACGCGUGAAGUAGACCGCCUGGGGAGUACGGUCGCAAGAUUAAAACUCAAAGGAAUUGACGGGGACCCGCACAAGCGGUGGAUGAUGUGGAUUAAAUUCGAUGCAACGCGAAAAACCUUACCUACCCUUGACAUGGAUGGAAUCCCUGAGAGAUUGGGGAGUGCCCGAAAGGGAACCAUUACACAGGUGCUGCAUGGCUGUCGUCAGCUCGUGUCGUGAGAUGUUGGGUUAAGUCCCGCAACGAGCGCAACCCUUGUCAUUAGUUGCUACGAAAGGGCACUCUAAUGAGACUGCCGGUGACAAACCGGAGGAAGGUGGGGAUGACGUCAAGUCCUCAUGGCCCUUAUGGGUAGGGCUUCACA
RNAcentral lists this ribosomal RNA (445 nucleotides) under uncultured bacterium. RNAcentral describes it as "bacterial SSU rRNA". It matches the Rfam family "Bacterial small subunit ribosomal RNA", at positions 770 to 1220 of the family's 1533-position model. The record is from RNAcentral.